RNAcentral lists this long non-coding RNA (268 nucleotides) under Homo sapiens (human). RNAcentral describes it as "non-protein coding lnc-LARP4B-2:1". The record is from RNAcentral. Lineage: Eukaryota; Metazoa; Chordata; Mammalia; Primates; Hominidae.
GGGUGGAGGGACGCACAUCCAAACCACAUCAGUGGCAUAUCAGUAUCUUUCUUUCUAAAAGUGAGAUAUAUUAACUCAUCGUGUGGUACACUUUGCAGAGGCUGUUCCAUUGGAAAGAGAACCGACUUCCAGGACAGAGGUUCUUCUGAUCUUUGGGCUUGAGCUCUUCCAUUCCUGAGCUGUCUCCAUCAUGGACUUCUUGUAAUAAAUCUAGAUCUAAACAGGCAAGGGAAAAAUAGAAAUAGCUAACAAACAUGAAAAUGUGCUC